GGCAAUUUAGCUCAGUGGUAGAGCAUUUGUCUAACAUGUAUGAUACCCAGGGUUCAAACCCCAGCACUGCAA
Molecule: transfer RNA, 72 nt
Filed under: Ictidomys tridecemlineatus (thirteen-lined ground squirrel)
Lineage: Eukaryota; Metazoa; Chordata; Mammalia; Rodentia; Sciuridae
Description: Spermophilus tridecemlineatus (thirteen-lined ground squirrel) tRNA
Rfam family: tRNA
About the family: Transfer RNA (tRNA) molecules are approximately 80 nucleotides in length.
Source: Rfam by way of RNAcentral